Molecule: long non-coding RNA, 256 nt
Filed under: Rattus norvegicus (Norway rat)
Lineage: Eukaryota; Metazoa; Chordata; Mammalia; Rodentia; Muridae
Description: long non-coding RNA NONRATT020778
Source: RNAcentral
UGUUACUGUUACAGCACAUACAUGCUAAUGUUCAGAGUCAAAGUAGAAUGUUACGAGCACUUCAAGUUAUUGAAGGGACAGAGUUAACCUCCUUAUGCUUUCCUCCCAACUCUGUUAAGCUCCUGCAGUGUGACAGUCCGAGGACAGAAUCACAAAGCCUCCUUCAGCAGAGUUCGUCCCCCUUUAGAGGACAUCCCACCCAAUCUCCAGGAUACAGUUAUCGAACUACUGCACUGAGACCUGGAAACCCUCCCUC